CGAGGCUUGGCAUGCUCUUCCUGGGAAAGUUUUAGAAAAAAAAAUGCGUGCAAUUCUGUAACAGUAUACUGGAUGCAGGACAAUUUACAACUUCAAUCAUAGACGAUCAAAUUUUCGCUAAACAAAGUCACAGGGUUUUCCGUAAAAUGAACUAUGAUCAGAUUGAGGACGAUGAACAGAUUAUCAAAACUCCAUGUGCAAAAAGUAAGAC
This 211-nucleotide long non-coding RNA is filed under the name Mytilus galloprovincialis (Mediterranean mussel). The record is from RNAcentral. Lineage: Eukaryota; Metazoa; Mollusca; Bivalvia; Mytilida; Mytilidae.